RNAcentral lists this ribosomal RNA (253 nucleotides) under uncultured bacterium. Its description in RNAcentral is "partial 16S ribosomal RNA". It matches the Rfam family "Bacterial small subunit ribosomal RNA", at positions 524 to 776 of the family's 1533-position model. The record is from RNAcentral.
UACGAAGGGUGCAAGCGUUAAUCGGAAUUACUGGGCGUAAAGCGUGCGUAGACGGCCUUUUAAGUCUGCUGUGAAAGCCCUGGGCUCAACCUGGGAACUGCAGUGGAUACUGUGAGGCUGGAGUGCGGUAGAGGAUGGUGGAAUUCCCGGUGUAGCGGUGAAAUGCGUAGAGAACGGGAGGAACAUCAGUGGCGAAGGCGGCCAUCUGGACCAGCACUGACGUUGAGGCACGAAAGCGUGGGGAGCAAACAGG